Ipomoea triloba (trilobed morning glory) is the source of this 2425-nucleotide RNA transcript. It is a transcript of the gene named ubiquitin-like-specific protease 1D, with no coding region annotated. The record is from RefSeq and is a predicted model, not a curated record. Lineage: Eukaryota; Viridiplantae; Streptophyta; Magnoliopsida; Solanales; Convolvulaceae. The transcript is spliced from 15 exons.
UCGAAUCCCUGGCAAUAGUCUACAGAGUAUUUUGUUCCUUCCCCUCCAUUUUCUCUCUCUUCCCCAGAAAAUUAGAGCUCAGAGGAUUCAUCACACUGCUUCACUCUCUAUACACAUUUGCAUGGGGGGAGGAAGUGAGGAAAAGCAGAAGGGAGGCAUACCGCUUAACAUUGACGAGUUAUUACGGGACCGCGAAGACGAGCCUCCGCCGGAGCUGGUGGUAGUCUCCACCGCUGCGGUGAAACCGCCGUCAACGGUGAUGGACGACGAUGAACGUAGGGACGACCUACAGGAAUUGUCGGAUGAAACGCUCAGGGUUAAGAUUGAGAGGACCAAUAGACUGCUAUCCUGCAAAAAUUUGCCCGAUGGUGGCGAGAAGUUGAGACACUUCAUCAAGCGCCUCCGGAAUGAACUGGAAAGGAGGCAACGUGACCAUCUCCGAAAGGAAGUUGAUAAACAAGAAGGGCAUGACCACAUUGGGGCAGGUUUAUCUAAUGGCUUCAUGCAACCGGCUCCAUCAUCUUCCACACCAAAUUCACAAUCUUCAUUUGCUGCUUGUUUUUCAAAGCGUUUGGAACCAGGAAACCAUAAGGUGGGCAAUGCCUUUGAAAGCGAAAUGAGUACUCUAAAUCCUUGUGACAGCAAAAGGGUACCCAAAAGACAGAUUCCGCCAAGGAGAAGACAAGAGAGAGGGUUGUCUUCACGCAGUGCAUCUUUUAAAGCUCGUCAGCGACUAUCUAAUACUGGUUUGAAAAGAAGUAUUUCUUCUACUACAUCACAUUCUGAGGAAGACUUCUACAGCAGUGUGACAAAGAAGAAUAAUUCUUCAGAAGUCCAAGGUUCAAAUAGGCCAAGGUGCAAAAAUGGGGAGACUGUUGUUCUUGUGGAUGAGGAGGAACAAGAGGCCAAGCAGAUGGAUCAAUUGGACUUUAUGGAUGAAAGCACCAAAGAUUUGAAGCUGUACUAUCCUUCUAGAGAUGAUCCAGAUCCAAUUGAGCUUUGCUAUUCAGACAUGGAAUGCCUUGCUCCUGAAGCAUAUUUGUCAUCAACCAUAAUGAACUUUUAUAUCCGAUAUCUGCAGCAGACCAAGUCUUCACCAGAUAGAGGAGGAUGCAACUAUCAUUUUUUUAAUACAUAUUUUUACAACAAGCUUAAAGAGGCUAUGCUGAACAAGCAGAAUGACAAGGAAUCUUCCUUUGUCAAGUUAAGAAGAUGGUGGAAAGGCGUAAAUCUGUUUGAGAAAGCAUACCUAUUUUUACCAAUUCAUGAAAGUCUUCAUUGGAGCUUGGUGAUUAUCUGCAUACCUGAUAAGGAAGAUGAAUCUGGACCAAUUGUACUUCAUUUGGAUUCACUAAUGUUCCACUGUAGCAAGCCAAUAUUUAACAACACCAGAAAGUUUUUGAUAGAGGAAUGGAAAAUCUUGAAAGAUGAAGGACCACAUUUCCCCAUUGCAGAUAAAAUAUGGGAGAAACUCCCUAGAAGAAUUGAGGAAAAAGAAAUUGAGGUUCCUCAACAAAAGAAUGACUAUGACUGCGGUCCCUUUGUACUUUUCUUUAUAGAACGGUUUAUUGAUGAAGUUUCUGAGAGGCUGAAAAGGAAGGAUCUAGAUAUGUUUGGAAAGAAGUGGUUCAAGCCUCAUGAAGCUUCUAAUUUGAGGCAAAAACUGAAAAGCAUACUUGCAAAGGAAUUCAAAAGAGCCUCAAAGGCAUUGAAAAAUGGUACUGAUGAUUUAACAUGAUAUCAAUCCUAGCCUUGCCAUGACUAACAGGUUUUGACAACAAUAGGUGACUUGUAGCUAGUAUUCAUUCACAUAUAAGAUGGAGAUUUUUGGAACAGCUCUGUAUAGUCAUUCCCUAAACCGCAAAGAAUUGGAGUUUCCCCCCUGCCUCUCAAUUCAGAAGUCCAGGAAGAAAGCAGAAGCAAUCUUGGGAGCUGAGGUUGAAUCUCUAUCCUUGGAUGCAUUGAUGGCUUCCAACUUGUCUUCUCCACAAUAACAUUAUAUAUUCAUCUUGGUCUUUUUCUCAAGUUUGAGUCCCAACACAUCACCUUUACAUUGGCAAAACUUCUCUCCCUAAAAUUUAAAGAAGACAUCUAUACUAGUGUACUAGAGUUUUAGAGCUAACAUCCUUUAAUUUGCAUAAAAAAGGAAUACCAUCUCAAAUUGGGUAAUUAAGGCUGGGAGACAUCACGUAUAAGUUCAUGUGAAAUCGAUUGGGUUGAAUCUUGCAGUUAGAGGCUGUGAUUGGUUGUAGUAGCUAUUGUAUUCAAGUUUUGUACAAAACUAAUAUAUAUAGUGAAAAUUUCUCCUAAAGAGAGAACAUUAGACUAGCUAGGGGAGUUAUAGUUUUUGGCAAACCACUAUCAACUUCCUUUUGUUAUUUACUUUAUUACACUUUUGAUCAAUUAUAUUUACUUUCGACAGUAA